RNAcentral lists this ribosomal RNA (495 nucleotides) under uncultured bacterium. RNAcentral describes it as "partial 16S ribosomal RNA". It matches the Rfam family "Bacterial small subunit ribosomal RNA", at positions 28 to 507 of the family's 1533-position model. The record is from RNAcentral.
GACGAACGCUGGCGGCGUGCCUAAUACAUGCAAGUAGAACGCUGAAGGAGGAGCUUGCUUCUCUGGAUGAGUUGCGAACGGGUGAGUAACGCGUAGGUAACCUGCCUGGUAGCGGGGGAUAACUAUUGGAAACGAUAGCUAAUACCGCAUAAGAGUAGAUGUUGCAUGACAUUUGCUUAAAAGGUGCAAUUGCAUCACUACCAGAUGGACCUGCGUUGUAUUAGCUAGUUGGUGGGGUAACGGCUCACCAAGGCGACGAUACAUAGCCGACCUGAGAGGGUGAUCGGCCACACUGGGACUGAGACACGGCCCAGACGCCUACGGGAGGCAGCAGUAGGGAAUCUUCGGCAAUGGACGGAAGUCUGACCGAGCAACGCCGCGUGAGUGAAGAAGGUUUUCGGAUCGUAAAGCUCUGCUGUAAGAGAAGAACGAGUGUGAGAGUGGAAAGUUCACACUGUGACGGUAUCUUACCAGAAAGGGACGGCUAACUACGUG